AGGAUGAACGCUGGCGGUCUGCUUAGCACAUGCAAGUCGAACGGAGUACCUCGGUACUUAGUGGCGGACGGGUGAGUAACGCGUGAGAAUCUGCCCUUAGGUCGGGGACAACCAUUGGAAACGAUGGCUAAUACCGGAUAAGCCGAGAGGUAAAAGAUUAAUUGCCUAGGGAAGAGCUCGCGUCUGAUUAGCUAGUUGGUGAGGUAAAGGCUCACCAAGGCAUCGAUCAGUAGCUGGUCUGAGAGGAUGAUCAGCCACACUGGGACUGAGACACGGCCCAGACUCCUACGGGAGGCAGCAGUGGGGAAUUUUCCGCAAUGGGCGAAAGCCUGACGGAGCAAGACCGCGUGAGGGAGGAAGGCUCUUGGGUUGUAAACCUCUUUUCUUGGGGAAGAACAAAAUGACGGUACCCAAGGAAUCAGCAUCGGCUAACUCCGUGCCAGCAGCCGC
RNAcentral lists this ribosomal RNA (450 nucleotides) under uncultured bacterium. Its description in RNAcentral is "SSU rRNA". It matches the Rfam family "Bacterial small subunit ribosomal RNA", at positions 26 to 518 of the family's 1533-position model. The record is from RNAcentral.